Molecule: long non-coding RNA, 1230 nt
Organism: Spinacia oleracea (spinach)
Lineage: Eukaryota; Viridiplantae; Streptophyta; Magnoliopsida; Caryophyllales; Amaranthaceae
Exons: 2
Source: RefSeq, a predicted model, not a curated record
UGAAAGAUAGGCGCGUAUAUGAGUUGUAAAAAAAAAGAACGUCUGAAAAAAUAAAAAUACCGUUAUAAACCUCCAAUCCACCGCCAUAUUCCGGGAAACCACCGCCUUAAAAUCUAUAUAAAACACUCUCACCGGUAAAGUUUUGUGUACAUAACCCUAAUCCGUCAAUUUUCUCUCUCGUUUCAAUUUCCCUAACUCUAACCCUAGAAUCUCCGAUCAAAUUCUAACAAUUUCAAUCUAAACCCAACCCUAACCCAGUAACCCUAGAUGAUGAUUCUUCAAAUUGGGGAUGAUUCAUCCAUUCACUAGUUUGAGCCACCGGAACAGUGUUGAUAUAAUCUUCCUAAGGGCGACAAUGUGUUUCAUUGGAGCAUAUCUGGUGGUAUUUCUCUUAGAAACUACUUUUUCCCUAAGUGAAGAUGUUGAUCAAAGUCUUCACUUCGGGAAAAAUUACGUUUUUAUCGAAGUUUCUUAUAUGGUGUUGAUGAAGAUGAAGAAUAAUUAGUAGCAAAAGAAGAAGUUCGCGGAUAAGAAGACGACGACGAAGAAGAAAUACGAGGAGUUCGAUAGGGACUGUUUCGGUUGGCAAGGAGUUUGGGUGGUCUGCAGAGCUGAUAUUGGUUUGAUGGUGGUUUGCGGUGGUGUUUGAGGCUGCUGCUGGGUCUGUUGGAUGGAAGUCUGGUGGUCAGUCUAGGUGCAGGAAGUAGGACUUGGUGUGUUUCUGGUGGUCUGCAGUGAGUUUGAAGAGAGCGGUUCUGCUCGGUCGUAACUGCAGUUUGCCCUGUCUGCAGUAGCUGCAUUGGUAGUGUUGUCCUGUUGCUGAUGUCGCUGCUUGGCUGUUGGCUAGGCCAGUGCUGCUUCUGGUGCUUCGUAGGUGCUGUUUUGUUGGUGCAGUGGUACAACAUUAGGUUUUGUUGCAGUUAGUUCAUGUGCAGUGGUGCGGUUUCAGAAGCCUUGCUGCUGUAUUGCGGCUGUAUUUCUCGCAUUUCCUGUUCUUGUCAUUCCUGGUUAAAGUUGACCAGGGUUGACUUUUGCUCUUUGUUUUGAGGGCCUUUUUUGUUUUGGAGCGUGUGUUUGCUCGGUUUGUUUUUGGUAGGUUGUUAGAGUUUUCAGUUUUCACCACCCUUUUAAAUACUUUUUGGUUUAUGUUGUUAAUAUAGUGCGUAUUUUUAUGGAUAUAAAGAUAUACUGACAGUGUUUAUUACUUCAUAUUAUGGUUUUUGUGAUCUA